GUUUUCCAGGUUGCUAUGGUGGCAUUAUUGCAUAGAUGAGGGACCAUCCACGAUUCAUACACAACAUCGACUGACGUGGUUUCAGAUUUGGAGCUGGAAGGGUGACCGUGUGUACAUACAGAUCAUGGACUAAGGUGUUGUCAGAUCUGCAGCAUAAAUGGGUUCCGUGGAAACGUACCUCUACGUCUAGGCAAUGGUAUAAUGGAUGGCCGACGUUCAGAUGUACAAAGCUAUACAGCAGAUUUUGGAGCAUAAAGGGUGUGUAUGUUUACUUUUUUGGCUCGACUAUUCGAAGAAUAGGGGAGCUAUUCUACUCGCCCAGGCAUCGGCGUGAGCGUCAUACAAAUGUUAAAGCUUGCGUACCAAACCAAAUAUUUUCAAAGUCCAUUGAAAUAUUGCUUUGAUAUUUUGUAUACUUGUUUACCAUCAUGACCCCAGUCUGUUAAAAGGAGGAGGCAAUUUUUUUUCAGCAUUUUGACUAAAUUAUGGCCCCUUUUCGACUUAGAACAUGCUUAUUGUAAUGUUAAAGUUUUACUCAUAGCUUAUAAAUAGUAUACUAUCAAGUACUGAGAAUAGUCGAGCGCGCUGUCCACUGACAACUCUUGUCUUACAUGUGGCAUCACUUUGAUAUAUUUGUUUCUCUUUUUACACAUGCCUCUCUGUAUGUAUACACGCAACAGGGUCACCAUGGGAACGUACCGCCACAAACACAUACAGACAAUGACUGACGUUCAGAUGAGCAGAUUUUAGAGCAUAUACGGUUAGUACAUGUAUGUCUACUUUUCCUUUUAUGUGGCAACGCUUUGAUACAUUUGUUUUUGUUUAUACACAUGCCUUUCUGUAUUUAUACAUUCAACCUCAACAGGGUUAUUAUGGAAACGUACCUAGGCAAUAGUAUAAAUGGGUGGCUGGCGUUUGGAUGUACAAAAACACACAGCAGAUUUUGGAUCAUAUAGGGUGUGUAUGUUUACUUUUUCUUUUUUGUGGCAACAUUUGGAUAUAUUUGUUUUUUAUUUUACACAUGCCUCUCUGUAUCUAUACAUUCAACAGGAUAACCAUGGAAACUAACAUCUACAUCUAGACAAAGGUUCAAGCAGCAGUGAGAGAAAUCCUGCAACCGAUCACUCGGCAAACGCUUAGCUUUAAGUAAUCUAAGCCUUGCUAGGGGCUGUAAAUGACUUCAGGCAAAACUUGAAUAUAAACAAACAUCUGGAUAAUAGGUGUGCUCAUUUAAUUAUUGAAAAAUGGUGUUUGCUGUUUUGUCAGGCUUUUGUUUACAAUAGCUCCUUGGUGGUGAUUGUGGUGUUGUUUGUGUGUUUGUGGUGGUGGUUUUGGUGUUUGUGGUGGUGGUUUUUGGAGUGUGUGAUGGUGGUUUUCGUGUUUGUGGUGUUUUUGUGUUUGUGGUGUUUUGGAGUUUGUAGUGGUGGUUUUGGAGUUUGUGGCGGUGGUUUUGGUGUUUGUGGUGUUGGUUUUGGAGUUUGUUGUGGUGGGUUUGGUGUUUGUG
Mercenaria mercenaria is the source of this 1504-nucleotide long non-coding RNA. RefSeq lists it as uncharacterized. The record is from RefSeq and is a predicted model, not a curated record. The transcript has 3 exons. Lineage: Eukaryota; Metazoa; Mollusca; Bivalvia; Venerida; Veneridae.